AGGGUGUAAACGCUGCGGGCUUGGUGUUGGGGUCCUUUGAGGGCGCCCCAGUGCCGGAGAGAAGUUGUUAAGCCUGCUGCUUGGGGAGUACGUCCGCAAGGAUGAAACUUAAAGGAAUUGGCGGGGGGAGGCACCGCAACGGGAGGAGCGUGCGGUUCAAUUGGAUUCAACGCCGGACAACUCACCAGGAGCGACGGUUACAUGAAGGCCAGGCUGAUGACCUUGCCUGAUUUUCCGAGAGGAGGUGCAUGGCGUCAGUGAC
Molecule: ribosomal RNA, 262 nt
Filed under: uncultured archaeon
Lineage: Archaea
Description: partial 16S ribosomal RNA
Rfam family: Archaeal small subunit ribosomal RNA
Source: RNAcentral